GCCGGCGUAGCUCAAUUGGAAGAGCACUCGUCUCCAAAACGAGUUGCAGCGAGAUCGAAACUCGCCGCCGGUA
This 73-nucleotide transfer RNA is filed under the name candidate division WWE3 bacterium RIFOXYC1_FULL_39_7. Its description in RNAcentral is "tRNA-Trp". It matches the Rfam family "tRNA". From Rfam's summary of the family: Transfer RNA (tRNA) molecules are approximately 80 nucleotides in length. Their secondary structure includes four short double-helical elements and three loops (D, anti-codon, and T loops). Further hydrogen bonds mediate the characteristic L-shaped molecular structure. tRNAs have two regions of fundamental functional importance: the anti-codon, which is responsible for specific mRNA codon recognition, and the 3' end, to which the tRNAs corresponding amino acid is attached (by aminoacyl-tRNA synthetases). tRNAs cope with the degeneracy of the genetic code in two manners: having more than one tRNA (with a specific anti-codon) for a particular amino acid; and 'wobble' base-pairing, i.e. permitting non-standard base-pairing at the 3rd anti-codon position. The record is from RNAcentral. RNAcentral also lists the same sequence under 1 other name. Lineage: Bacteria; candidate division WWE3.